This 251-nucleotide unclassified non-coding RNA is filed under the name Hevea brasiliensis (rubber tree). The record is from RNAcentral. Lineage: Eukaryota; Viridiplantae; Streptophyta; Magnoliopsida; Malpighiales; Euphorbiaceae.
GGUUCUGAUAUUGCUGCAGAGCUUAAAUGCCUCUUGCGCUUGUUGACAGUUUGUUGGCAUUUCUCCAAAAAACCUUUCCCAUUAUUCUUGGAGGAGACAGGCUAUUCCCAAGAAAGUGUACUACUACAAGAACCCAAAGCUGGAAUUCUGAAGCCAGCUUUUACAAUACUCGCAGACCACCGAUCAAGAUCUUUCCUCCUUGUAAUACGUGGAACUCAUAGUAUUAAAGAUACUUUGACUGCUGCUACUGG